RNAcentral lists this ribosomal RNA (443 nucleotides) under uncultured bacterium. RNAcentral describes it as "partial 16S ribosomal RNA". It matches the Rfam family "Bacterial small subunit ribosomal RNA", at positions 338 to 795 of the family's 1533-position model. The record is from RNAcentral.
CCUACGGGAGGCAGCAGUGGGGGAUAUUGGACAAUGGGGGGAACCCUGAUCCAGCGACGCCGCGUGAAGGAAGAAGGCUUUCGGGUUGUAAACUUCUUUUCUGAGGGACGAAGAAAGUGACGGUACCUCAGGAAUAAGCCACGGGUAACUACGGGCCAGCAGCCGCGGUAAUACGUAGGUGGCAAGCGUUAUCCGGAUUGAUUGGGUGUAAAGGGCGGGUAGGCGGGAAAGCAAGUCAGAUGUGAAAACUCAGGGCUCAACCCUGAGCCUGCAUUUGAAACUGUUUUUCUUGAGUGCUGGAGAGGCAAUCGGAAUGCCGUGUGUAGCGGUGAAAUGCGUAGAUAUACGGAGGAACACCAGUGGCGAAGGCAGAAUGCUGGACAGUAACUGACGCUGAGGCGCGAAAGCGUGGGGAGCAAACAGGAUUAGAUACCCGUGUAGUC